AACGAACGCUGGCGGCAUGCCUAACACAUGCAAGUCGAACGAUACCUUCGGGUCUAGUGGCGCACGGGUGCGUAACGCGUGGGAACCUGCCCUUAGGUUCGGAAUAACUCCCCGAAAGGGGUGCUAAUACCGGAUAAUGUCUUCGGACCAAAGAUUUAUCGCCUUUGGAUGGGCCCGCGUUGGAUUAGCUAGUUGGUAGGGUAAAAGCCUACCAAGGCGACGAUCCAUAGCUGGUCUGAGAGGAUGAUCAGCCACACUGGGACUGAGACACGGCCCAGACUCCUACGGGAGGCAGCAGGGGGGAAUAUUGGACAAUGGGCGAAAGCCUGAUCCAGCAAUGCCGCGUGAGUGAUGAAGGCCUUAGGGUUGUAAAGCUCUUUUAACCGGGAUGAUAAUGACAGUACCGGGAGAAUAAGCGCCGGCUAACUCCGUG
RNAcentral lists this ribosomal RNA (433 nucleotides) under uncultured bacterium. Its description in RNAcentral is "partial 16S ribosomal RNA". It matches the Rfam family "Bacterial small subunit ribosomal RNA", at positions 29 to 507 of the family's 1533-position model. The record is from RNAcentral.